CUACAGCGGACCUCGAGCCGCCAUUUGGGGUGUGGCGCCUCCGGAGGAAUAGGGCGCAUUGAGCCUCGUCCUCUCCUGAGAACAUCAGUCAUACUGGAUUCAAGAGCCUACCUUAAGCUGGUCUGGUGGUGUACUCCUGUAUACCCAGCUGCCCAGGAGGCUGAGAAGGAGGAUUGCAAGUUCAAAGCCAGCCUCAGCAACAAUGAGGCACUAAGCAAC
Long non-coding RNA from Marmota flaviventris (yellow-bellied marmot), 219 nucleotides. RefSeq lists it as uncharacterized. NCBI's taxonomy places the organism in Eukaryota, Metazoa, Chordata, Mammalia, Rodentia, Sciuridae. The record is from RefSeq and is a predicted model, not a curated record.